UACGGAGGGUGCGAGCGUUGUUCGGAAUCACUGGGCGUAAAGGGCGUGUAGGCGGUCCUAAGUCUGAUGUGAAAGCCCGGGGCUCACCCCCGGAAGGGCAUUGGAAACUGGCGGACUCGAGUCCCGGAGAGGAAGGUGGAAUUCCUGGUGUAGCGGUGAAAUGCGUAGAUAUCAGGAGGAAUACCGGUGGCGAAGGCGGCCUUCUGGACGGUGACUGACGCUGAGACGCGAAAGCGUGGGGAGCAAACAGG
RNAcentral lists this ribosomal RNA (251 nucleotides) under uncultured bacterium. RNAcentral describes it as "partial 16S ribosomal RNA". It matches the Rfam family "Bacterial small subunit ribosomal RNA", at positions 524 to 776 of the family's 1533-position model. The record is from RNAcentral.